This 509-nucleotide ribosomal RNA is filed under the name uncultured bacterium. Its description in RNAcentral is "partial 16S ribosomal RNA". It matches the Rfam family "Bacterial small subunit ribosomal RNA", at positions 28 to 523 of the family's 1533-position model. The record is from RNAcentral.
GACGAACGCUGGCGGCGCGCUUAAUACAUGCAAGUCGAGCGAGAACUAGGGCUUCGGCCCUGGGGACAGCGGCGAACGGGUGAGUAACACGUGGGUAAUCAACCCCCGACACCGGGAUAGCCCAGGGAAACUUGGAUUAAUACCGGAUGCCCCAUCUGGCUUUCGAGCCGGCUGGAAAAGGGUAGCUUCGGCCUCCGGUCGGGGACGAGCCCGCGGCGGAUUAGCUUGUUGGUGAGGUAAAGGCUCACCAAGGCGACGAUCCGUAGCUGGUCUGAGAGAACGAUCAGCCACACUGGGAAUGAGACACGGCCCAGACUCCUACGGGAGGCAGCAGUAGGGAAUCUUGCGAAAUGGGCGAAAGCCUGACGCAGCGACGCCGCGUGAGGGAAGAAGGCCUUCGGGUUGUAAACCUCUUUCAGGAGGGACGAAGCCACUCGGGUUAAUAGCCUAGAGGGUGACGGUACCUCCAGAAGAAGCCCCGGCUAACUACGUGCCAGCAGCCGCCGUAA